RNAcentral lists this ribosomal RNA (526 nucleotides) under Clostridioides difficile. RNAcentral describes it as "bacterial SSU rRNA". It matches the Rfam family "Bacterial small subunit ribosomal RNA", at positions 1014 to 1533 of the family's 1533-position model. The record is from RNAcentral. Lineage: Bacteria; Bacillati; Bacillota; Clostridia; Peptostreptococcales; Peptostreptococcaceae.
UUCCCUUCGGGGACAUUGGUGACAGGUGGUGCAUGGUUGUCGUCAGCUCGUGUCGUGAGAUGUUGGGUUAAGUCCCGCAACGAGCGCAACCCUUGUCUUUAGUUGCCAUCAUUAAGUUGGGCACUCUAGAGAGACUGCCAGGGAUAACCUGGAGGAAGGUGGGGAUGACGUCAAAUCAUCAUGCCCCUUAUGCUUAGGGCUACACACGUGCUACAAUGGGUAGUACAGAGGGUUGCCAAGCCGUAAGGUGGAGCUAAUCCCUUAAAGCUACUCUCAGUUCGGAUUGUAGGCUGAAACUCGCCUACAUGAAGCUGGAGUUACUAGUAAUCGCAGAUCAGAAUGCUGCGGUGAAUGCGUUCCCGGGUCUUGUACACACCGCCCGUCACACCACGGGAGUUGGAGACGCCCGAAGCCGAUUAUCUAACCUUGUGGAAGAAGGCGUCGAAGGUGGAAUCAAUAACUGGGGUGAAGUCGUAACAAGGUAGCCGUAUCGGAAGGUGCGGCUGGAUCACCUCCUUUCUAAUGA